Molecule: ribosomal RNA, 253 nt
Filed under: uncultured bacterium
Lineage: Bacteria
Description: partial 16S ribosomal RNA
Rfam family: Bacterial small subunit ribosomal RNA
Source: RNAcentral
GACAGAGGGUGCAAACGUUGUUCGGAAUUACUGGGCGUAAAGCGAGUGUAGGCGGUUUCCUAAGUCAGGUGUGAAAGCCCCGGGCUCAACCCGGGAAGUGCACUUGAAACUGGGAGGCUAGAGUAUCGGAGAGGUUGGUGGAAUUCUCGGUGUAGCGGUGAAAUGCGUAGAUAUCGUAAGGAAGACCAGUGGCGAAGGCGGGUCUCUGGACAGUUCCUGACGCUGAGGCACGAAGGUCAGGGGAGCAAACGGG